This is a long non-coding RNA of Topomyia yanbarensis, 1507 nucleotides long. RefSeq lists it as uncharacterized. Lineage: Eukaryota; Metazoa; Arthropoda; Insecta; Diptera; Culicidae. The transcript is spliced from 4 exons. The record is from RefSeq and is a predicted model, not a curated record.
AAUAUUACUGGAAGUGAUUGUUUCUAGUUUUAAACAAUUAAAUUUAAAUAAUUAAUAUUAUUUGCAGCACACCCAAACAAAGCAAAUCAGCUCAACUAAUCUUGUCUCAACAUCCUGGAUCUGGCAAUCAGCCAACCAACAUUAAAUCGAUACAACCGCAGCAGUACCAACUACUCCAAAUCCAGCAACAGCCCCUCAAAAAAGGACCACAUAGCAAUUACUGCUCAAACGAACAACAGGAGUUUACGAAUGAUGGACACAUCGGAAAACAUUUCAUCGGCACAUUCUGCCUUAAAACAUGUCUGCCACUAUUUUUGAAAAUAUCACUGCCUACACAGUGCUCGUGAUUCCAUUCCAGCAGCAGCAAGCAAUCACUAUUCGAGUGCUUAUCGCCAACAUUUCACAGCAAGCUCAGCAGCAGAACCACCUUCAACCACAACAUCAGAAAAUUAAGAUUUCUUCCAGACCAUGACCAUCAUCCUAAAGGUCGGUAGCAAUAACGUUCAACCGACGGUACAACCUGGUCAGCAACCGCAAUUAGUGCAAUAGAUCCAACCCAAAUGUAGAUUUACCAACUGCAAAAAAGAUAGCAACAGCACAUUCAAACACAGUAGCAGCAGCAUACUAUACUGUACCAUGCGGUGUGCAGGAGGACUUUUUUAUUCAGUUGGUGCGGCAAGAUCGAACACCAACAACAUAAUAUCAUGGUAAUCACCCAGCAAGAGAACGCAGUGAUAAUGGGCCAACAGAAAACACAACAUCAAGAUGCUCGGAAAGGACUUUCUCUUUCGAACAAACAUAAUGGCACGUCAUCUUCAAUCGGCUAACCGUUUGGAAUAAGCGCUCAUCAUCGGUUUCAUGGCAGGGAAGUGAGCAGGCAAAAGAAGGCAUCGUUUUUUCCGCAAGGUCGCUCUGGUCAAAAUUUCUGCGAAUUGCAAGGAAUAAACCACCCGAGGGACAAUACCCGUGCUGAUUCAGGACGAUUUCCCAUACUUUGUACCUUGCUAUUGAAUUUUAAUACCCGAUCGAAACGAUGGCAAGCGCUGCCGAUAAUUGGGUCAAAAAGACGACGGAUCAAGAAAUUUCUGCACUCGGUUAGCGAACUGAGUACAUAUCAUCAAGGAUAAGGAUUCAGAGCCGGCGGCUGGCAGUCCAGAGAAAGAGAAUGCGGAAAAACCUAGUCCACCGGCAGUAGAACCAAAGCUGCACCUGAUGUUUGGAGUUCGGUAGCUACAGAAAUUCUGACUCUAGCAGCUCCUGAAGAAAAACAAGCUGCAAGAGAAAAUGGAGAAACACCUUCCUCCGCGGAAGAUGCAGAGGCAUUCAAGUAAGUCGAAAUCUGCAGAAAAUUUUGAUUAGGACAUAAGGAACAUUGACAGCCUCUCUUUGUUUACUUUCUCUUUCGAUUAUGACGUCACUAUAACACUUUGCACUAAUUUUCCAGUACAUAGCCGAUGGUUUUUACUAAAAUAUUAGGCAAAGAGUUGAGUACUAAAUAUUGAAACGA